This 253-nucleotide ribosomal RNA is filed under the name uncultured bacterium. Its description in RNAcentral is "partial 16S ribosomal RNA". It matches the Rfam family "Bacterial small subunit ribosomal RNA", at positions 524 to 776 of the family's 1533-position model. The record is from RNAcentral.
UACAGAGGUCCCAAGCGUUGUUCGGAUUCAUUGGGCGUAAAGGGUGCGUAGGUGGCGUCGUAAGUCGGGUGUGAAAUUUCGGAGCUCAACUCCGAAACUGCAUUCGAUACUGCGGUGCUUGAGGACUGGAGAGGAGACUGGAAUGCUUGGUGUAGCAGUGAAAUGCGUAGAUAUCAAGCGGAACACCAGUGGCGAAGGCGAGUCCCUGGACAACUCCUGACACUGAGGCACGAAAGCUAGGGGAGCAAACAGG